Molecule: long non-coding RNA, 366 nt
Filed under: Brassica napus (rape)
Lineage: Eukaryota; Viridiplantae; Streptophyta; Magnoliopsida; Brassicales; Brassicaceae
Description: long non-coding RNA (BNAP_LNC012414)
Source: RNAcentral
GUUAAUACUCAUUUUCAUCAAUAAUAUCAACGUAAAUUAAAAAUAAUAACCAGAGAAUCUAAAAAUUAUGUAUACUGAAUUAGUUGGUUUUAUAUAAAUACUAGUGGUAUUCGUAUAUAUAUAUUUUAAUGAAUUUACAAUUCAUAUUAUGGUUUUAUUAAACAAAAUAUAUCAAAUUCCAGGAAAGUUCCACAAAUAUGUAGAAAAUAUUUCGAUAGAGAACACUUUCCACCAAAAAAAAAACUACAAAGCUCGCUCUAAAAACCAAAUGAAAAAAAAACAAAUUAAUCUUAGCUUGACAAAAAACAUCAACAACAAAAGAACACAAAAAAUCUUCACAAAUAGUAUCAAUAGUCCCACUGUCAA